This is a long non-coding RNA of Amphimedon queenslandica, 265 nucleotides long. RefSeq lists it as uncharacterized. NCBI's taxonomy places the organism in Eukaryota, Metazoa, Porifera, Demospongiae, Haplosclerida, Niphatidae. The transcript is spliced from 3 exons. The record is from RefSeq and is a predicted model, not a curated record.
CAUCUGUAUGAGCUUAUUAACUGCCAUCAAACUAUAAGUGAGGACAAGAUUGGUCCAUUAAUCUCGUGGUUUUUCAGCUAAACUACAUGUACAUGUAGCUACACGUAUUUCAAGAUUUGCAAUUUUGUCCUAUCACAGUUUGGCAACAAAACAAUAGGAAUUAGAUUGGGACUAUCUGAAUGACAUGAUUGCAGACAAUUAAGUCAUCAAAAUUGAACUGCACAUACACCUGUGGAUACUACUAUAUUGCCAGUGGUCAUUGUAU